This 497-nucleotide ribosomal RNA is filed under the name uncultured bacterium. Its description in RNAcentral is "partial 16S ribosomal RNA". It matches the Rfam family "Bacterial small subunit ribosomal RNA", at positions 28 to 507 of the family's 1533-position model. The record is from RNAcentral.
GAUGAACGCUGGCGGCGUGCCUAAUACAUGCAAGUCGAGCGAACAGAUGAGGAGCUUGCUCCUCUGACGUUAGCGGCGGACGGGUGAGUAACACGUGGAUAACCUACCUAUAAGACUGGGAUAACUUCGGGAAACCGGAGCUAAUACCGGAUAAUAUAUUGAACCGCAUGGUUCAAUAGUGAAAGACGGUUUUGCUGUCACUUAUAGAUGGAUCCGCGCCGCAUUAGCUAGUUGGUAAGGUAACGGCUUACCAAGGCAACGAUGCGUAGCCGACCUGAGAGGGUGAUCGGCCACACUGGAACUGAGACACGGUCCAGACUCCUACGGGAGGCAGCAGUAGGGAAUCUUCCGCAAUGGUCUAAAUCCUGACGCAACAACGCCACGUGAGUGAUGAAGGUCUUCGGAUCGUAAAACUCUGUUAUUAGGGAAGAACAAAUGUGUAAGUAACUAUGCACGUCUUGACGGUACCUAAUCAGAAAGCCACGGCUAACUACGUG